Molecule: non-coding RNA, 87 nt
Organism: Pholiota conissans
Lineage: Eukaryota; Fungi; Basidiomycota; Agaricomycetes; Agaricales; Strophariaceae
Source: the annotation of a GenBank genome assembly
GCCCCCGUUGUCUAAUGGUUAUGACGUCAGACUUCUAUAACAGCAGGUUAUAUCUGGAGGUUGCGGGUUCGAAUCCCGCCGGGGGUU